UACGUAGGGUGCGAGCGUUGUCCGGAAUUAUUGGGCGUAAAGGGCUCGUAGGCGGUCUGUCGCGUCGGGAGUGAAAACUCAGGGCUUAACCCUGAGCCUGCUUCCGAUACGGGCAGACUAGAGGUAUGCAGGGGAGAAUGGAAUUCCUGGUGUAGCGGUGAAAUGCGCAGAUAUCAGGAGGAACACCGGUGGCGAAGGCGGUUCUCUGGGCCGUAACUGACGCUGAGGAGCGAAAGCGUGGGGAGCGAACAGG
RNAcentral lists this ribosomal RNA (253 nucleotides) under uncultured bacterium. RNAcentral's name for it is "partial 16S ribosomal RNA". It matches the Rfam family "Bacterial small subunit ribosomal RNA", at positions 524 to 776 of the family's 1533-position model. The record is from RNAcentral.